Alosa sapidissima (American shad) is the source of this 181-nucleotide long non-coding RNA. RefSeq lists it as uncharacterized. Lineage: Eukaryota; Metazoa; Chordata; Actinopteri; Clupeiformes; Clupeidae. The record is from RefSeq and is a predicted model, not a curated record. The transcript has 2 exons.
UAUUAGGCUACUACACUAAGUAUCUAAGCAUAUGGUUAUUUCAUUUCAGGUCCAGUAUGAGGUGAGGUGUGUCAAUAAAAUAAUACAAAAUAAAUUCCAAAAGGGAAUAAUGUGGCAUAAAAACAUGAGUGUGAAUGUGUAAAUGUAUGUAACUGUAUAAGUAAACUACUUAUAUAUCUAA